Molecule: ribosomal RNA, 346 nt
Filed under: uncultured bacterium
Lineage: Bacteria
Description: bacterial SSU rRNA
Rfam family: Bacterial small subunit ribosomal RNA
Source: RNAcentral
UACCUGAUGUUGUGAGAAGAAGGCCUCUGAUUUUCACGAAAGACUUCGGUCGCCGAUGGAUGGGGAUGCGUACGAUUAGGCAGCAGGCGGGGUAACGGCCCACCUGGCCAACGAUCGUUAGGGGUUCUGAGAGGAAGGUCCCCCACACUGGUACUGAGACACGGACCAGACUCCUACGGGAGGCAGCAGUGAGGAAUAUUGGUCAAUGGGCGCAAGCCUGAACCAGCCAAGUAGCGUGCAGGACGACUGCCCUAUGGGUUGUAAACUGCUUUUAUGCGGGGAUAAAGUGAGCCACGCGUGGCUUAUUGCAGGUACCGCAUGAAUAAGGACCGGCUAAUUCCGUGCC